Long non-coding RNA from Chenopodium quinoa (quinoa), 1145 nucleotides. RefSeq lists it as uncharacterized. NCBI's taxonomy places the organism in Eukaryota, Viridiplantae, Streptophyta, Magnoliopsida, Caryophyllales, Amaranthaceae. The record is from RefSeq and is a predicted model, not a curated record. The transcript has 5 exons.
UCCAUCCCCUCUUUAAUUCCUUUCAUCUUCUGCCCUCGAUAACCAUAAGCAGUCCCAUCAAAACAUCGAGACACAAAAAACCCCAGAAGUGUUUAAUUCAUCCCAUUAAAAUUCGACGGUUGAAGGCCAUUAAAUUAUGAGAAAUUGAAUGUGAGAACUCCGAAAGGGAAAAGGAAAAAUUGUGGGUAGUUGUUAGUGGUGAAAUUGCUUGCGAAAUAGGUGCUGUGGGUGUGAGGGCUUGGCGAAAGACUCAAUUUUUAUGCAACUUUGAAACUUUAAUACGAUCAGAGGAUACAGACAACUGGAAAUUUUUUGUGUGGCACUUAAAGAAUCUGUUGAAGGAUAGUGGAAGAGGUGAUCAAUGGUGCAUUAUUUCUGAUAGAUAGAAGGGUAUAGAAGCAGCUCUGAAAGAGUUGUGUCCCAAAGUUGGAAGGAGAAAAGCCAUGGAGCAACAACAAAAAGGCAACCCUGCUGCAUUGAUAUGGCUUUCAAAGGCUGGGGAACAGUCCACCUGGACUAAACAUAAGUUUAAUGAGGAAAUCAAGUGUGAUGUUAACAAAAGUAAUUUUGUUGAAAGUUUAAUGCAACUCUAGGAAUUGAUAGAGCAAGACCUGUACUGACUUUGUUAGAAGGUAUAAGGAGAGCAAUAAUGGUGAGAGUGUGCAAUAGGAAACAAAAGGCAGCAAAUUGGAAUGACAAUGACAUAUGUCCUAACAUUUUGAAGAGGCUGCAAGAAAUGACACAAGAAUCUUGGGCAUGUAAGGAAUACCCUAGUGAUGAUGGAUAUGAGAUCCAAGAUGGUAAGUCCAUCCUCACUGUAAGUCUUAGUGAACAAAGAUGUCUGGGUGGUGUGUGGCAAAUCUCUAGAAUAGGGAAAUAAGGGUUUAAAGAGGGAGAAUAGGGAAGGAGAGAGGAUUCGAUGUUUUAUAACAGGUGGUAAGUCCCUUUGGAGGGAAAAACUUAACCAUAGUUAAUCAUAUUAUAUCUAAUAUGAUGAUUAAUGUUAUAACUAUGAUUAAUUUUAUAAGUAGGGUCAUUUUAUGAAAAAAGGAGGUCACCAUUUCAGUGUUACACAAAUUGGGGGUUACCAUAGAGAAUUUCCCAUAAAGUAGAGGCCUGUUUUUAGGGCAAGUUCAAUCUCUUUU